Non-coding RNA from Xyrichtys novacula (pearly razorfish), 10374 nucleotides. NCBI's taxonomy places the organism in Eukaryota, Metazoa, Chordata, Actinopteri, Labriformes, Labridae. The record is from the annotation of a GenBank genome assembly.
UUGACUGGCUGUUACUAGUUUGUCCGUUCUGCCCUACCGUAGGAAAAUGGUGAUGAAAGAUGGCGGCGUUCACGGUAAGGAAACUCUUCGAAUAUUGAUAGAUUUUGUUCAUCUAAAAAUAUAAUUCAACACUUUAUACUCAAAGUAUCACCAAUGUGCCAUUAUGUUUGUAUUUUGACGAAAAUAGAACGUUUACAAAAAAAAUAAACAAAUCUUCAAAUGUCGAUACAAAAAGUCCAGUUUAAGUUAACAACAAUAGUUGUUUUUUAUUUUAUAAGUUAUUUAUAUUCAGGUGAUUAAACUCUAAUUUAAAAAUAUUUAUCAAACUCCAACCUUCACAAUCAAUACCUACACUUUAGGAUAAAAUGGUAUUUAAACUUAAAAAGUCUUCUGUGCCUUAAUUUUAAUCAACUAAACACAAAAUUAUAGAUUAUUUUGAUCAAAUUUCAUCUUCUAAACCAAGAGACACGUCUUUAUUUCUAGUACACUUAAGAUGUAAUGAUUUGACAAUGUUGUUUGGGAGAAAAAUGGGUAGACCAUUUGAUAAUUUAAGUAAUCUCUUAGCAGUGUCCUCUUCAGGCUAGAAAAAUCAUCCCAAAAUUAUUUUAAUCAACAUCAGGGUUGUCAGCUCUGCUUUAUCAGGACUGUGUGUGUCUGUACAAGUGUGUGUGUGUGUGUGUGUGUGUGUGUGUGUGUGUGUGUGUGUGUGUGUGUGUGUGUGUGUGUGUGUGUGUGUGUGUGGCGUGUCCUACAAUUCGACUGACAGCUGCAUCCUCCAAGCAAUCCCAGCAACAAACCAGCAGCGACCAUCUUCUCCUAUUUCCACUUUAUGGUCACAUCUGAUCUUCUUUCUAACUUUAAACCUAAAAAAAGGCACAAAAGACAAAUCUGUACGACCAUAAUUUGAAUUAAAAGAAAUGUGUUAGCCAUUGUUUUUUUCUACAGCGAUCACAGACUGCAGUACCAGCUGUAAUUAACAUCUUUAGGUGCUCACACUUCAAGGCUGUGCCCGAUGUGCUAAUUAUCUCUCACUGUGUCCAUAAAUACCUCAUAAUCACGCUGUAAUCUUUUAUCCCAAAUUGCGGUCUCAAUAAUGUUGUACAGUGUAGUCCACAAGCUAUAAUGAGCUCUUUCUGCAUGUUUUGGUGCAUUGUACAUACUUAUGUGUUGCUUGGGAGUGUGAGCUCAGCGGUUCAGUGGCAGUCUGUGUCUGAUCUGAUUGAUGGAGACGGUAGAGGAGGCAGAGAAGCUACAGGCUUCUCAUUAACCUAUGAUAAUGCACCUGUCACCCUGAUAGCAAAGCCUUCCAGCACAUUUGUUUCAGGUAGCUCCUUCCCUCUGUUUCUCGCCUGAUUUACCUACUUCAACUUGCUGCUUCUGUUUCUUUUUUCUACUCUGAUUUUUUGAGCAGUAUUGUGUCAACAUGCCCCAAAGCAUAGGGCAUUGAGCCCUUGUUUUGAGUGGUUUUGCUUCCCCUCUUUCAGAUUAAUAAUAAUGCGUUAAGUAAAAACCAGGACCAGGAUUGAUGGGGCAUCAACCAGUCCUGCUAUAUUUUAAUUUCUUAACAGACUACUCAUCUUCCAACCCCUCCAAAGUGUCUAACAGUCUGUGUUAUCAUACGACAUAUACCCUCUCAAAGUGUUGUAGCUUUCUUCUUCUUUCUUUCUGUUUCAGUAUUCAUAGAUCCCUUUUGAAGCGUGUGUGCAAAGUUUUUAAAAAACUACUAAAUGAGGUUACACUAUUAAAACUUAAAAACAUGUCUGAGCUAGGAAAGACUUAAGCAACGUUCAAAGUGAAUAACAGGAUUCAUAUGCAGUGCAUCCAGCCCAAAGCAAUAAACCCUGUCAAACAUGCAGUCAGCAUCAGAAGCUGGAACAUGACCUCUAAAACUUGCUUUUAAGAAUUCAAAUCAACAUGACUGUCAAUCCCGUGUAAAAUACUAAUACUAUUUUACUGUAUAUCUAAGGUUUCCAAAUAUGAAAGCUGGGAUACAGCUGUAUAUGUCAGUAUCAAAUGUUAGCUAGCUAGUAGUUGAAUGCAAAUGUUAACUGCUGCACAAACCUGUUACUUUAAUCGCUAAACGUGUGUCAAACAAACUCCCUCAUAAUAUUUGCCACCAGUCAGCCUGAACUUGUAGCUAAACUAAUGUUACUCCAGGAAAUGUAACCAUAGACUGUAUAUAGAAUGGACGCUGUCUGCCUCCUCGCUGGGUGAAGCCACUCUGAGAACAGCACCCUCUGGUGACGGGCUGCAGUAUAGGUCAUAAAUUCUGCCUCCUCCAGCAAUCCUUGUAGGGUUGUGGACAGAAAUUAAUUACACAGAAUAUACAUUUUUCUCCCUCCUGCUUGUGAUGUUGACAUGUAGUUUUUGUAAGACUAGUUUGUGCUGAAGUCCUCUUUUUUUCUGUACAGCCUUAUUUUUAAAAGUUAUUAGGGGGUUCAUGUUUUCUAUGAUUGACACUUGAUUCAGCCUAUGGGGAUACCCUGUUUGGGCCGAGCGUCAUCACAGUGACUCUCUGCGACUCUCCCGCCCAUUGUGUACAACGCUACUGCGUAAGUGGCGAAUUGUGUACAAUGCUACUGCGCAAUGUUGGUUUCAGGAAAUGGAGAAAAAACGCGGAAAUAUCGAGAGCUUUUCGGCUUCAAAUCCGUAUACCGGCAGAAGGCAGAACCAAGUUGUCCAUAGUAUAUACAGUCUAUGUAUACGUCUGUAUCAAAUGUUAGCUUGCUAGCUAGUAGUUGAAUGCAAGUGUUAGUUAUUGAAACAGGUUCUUAAAAAUCUUAUUUUAUCUUUUCACGAUCUGUUACCUCAAUCGCUAAAGGUGAGAAACAAACUCCCUAAAAAUAUUUGCCACCAGUCAGCCUGAACUUGUAGCUUAACCAGUAUUACUCCAGGAAAUGUAACCAGCAACAACCAAACUGUAAUUAUAUAAAACUUAUCCCAGUGAACUUCUUUUAACUUAUGGAGAGCUGGAGUGGCUCGUUCUGUAGCUGCUCUCCUAUCAUAAUAUUUAAAAGUCAACUUCUCCCCAACAGAAAGGCUCCAGCUACUCCACCAGAUGUCUUUUCUUUAUGAAGCCUGUUCCAGACAGUUUCCCCGCUCUCCAGAGAGCCUGUGUGUGAUUUAUUUAUCCUAUCUGUACAUUGAGUGCCGGGGACGCACCCUGAGAACACACAGGACUUGGGGAACAACAGCAAGUUGAGCUGUUUUGAAAGCAGCAUCAAGAAAAGGCGAGGGCUGUGAGGUCAGAUAGUGAAUCUGUCUGGACAUUAAACUGUAUGUCAGAAGUGUUUCUCAGGCUGCUUCAGAACAUGUAGAGAGAGUCAUAUACUGAGUUAAGGGUGUUUAGGUUCUUGGGGUUCGGGGGAGUUAAUCUUCAGAAGCUCCUAUUAGUCACUCUGUCAGAUGUUGGAGAGAUAGACCAAACUGUGCUGGUACCAUUUGAUGCCAAGCAGCCUUUGGAGUUCAAAUUCUGCGAUACUGGCAGGACUUGAUCAUGAUUAAAGAAUGAGCAUGUGUGGUGUUGGGAUGUCUCUGGCAUGGCUCUUUGCUUCAACCUCUAAUCUUGUCUGUUUCAUCUCAUGCCAUGCAAAUCUCUCAGAGGACGAUCAAGCAUUAGUGUUUUCACGUCUCUGGAUGAUAGCUGCUGCUUUGUUUGUGUUGGAUACCAGCUGCUCUCAUUAAGGGAAAGACAAGGGGAAAAUAAAAAGAGGGACACCCCUUCCUGGGGUCAGCCCUUCCUGUUCGAAAAGCAGACGGCUUCCUGUUGGGGCCCUGUCGUGUGACACAUGUGGCACCUCUUUGUCCCUCAGCGUUCAUCCUCAGCUUUUCGGUGGGAAACCUGCUUUUCAUUUAGGUUAUGCAAACAUCCUGCCAUCCUUGUUGAUGAAUGCACAAGCAGAUCUCCAAGAUGUGAAAGAAUUCACAAGUAGAUUACGUCAACAACAAACAGAUAAGAGAUAAAAGAGCGCUCUUGUGGGUAUCUCAGAAAUUACUGUACAAUAUUAAAGCAACCUAAAAUUUUUGGUGUCACUCUGAGCAGUGUUUGGCAGUAUUUAUCUUCAGAGCUGUCAUUAGGAAAAGACAGGCUUUCAGCAUGAGUGCCCAUUUAUUUCCACUGCUAACUGAGUGCAGCUGAAACAGACAGAAAACAAGCCUCUCCUGAUGUGAGGAGUGCAGAGUGGAUAUCCUUAACAUGGCAGCCUGCUGUGUCUCACAUAGAAGGACAACACACUGGGCGUAACAGGAGCGAAUAAUAGACGCCGCUGCCUCAAAGAGUAAUAAUCAAGCUUAAUGGAUAGAAAGAAAAGGAGUAAACGGUAAAUUUAUGCAUAUGUAAUCAUGAGAGAAAAGAGGUGGGGAGCAGAGCGGAUGGCCUUCAGUGGAAUAUUCUCGUGUGCUGAUUAGCGAAGUCGUGAUAAUGAGAUUCAUUGACAGGCUAAUAUGGAAAACAGCAUGCCCCCUGCUGUGGCUGUCUGUGCCGUCCCUCUUCCUCAGUCCCCCUUCCUCCUCCUCGUGUAUUUUGCUCUAUUUCUCAAUGUUCUUCCUCUUCUUCACAGAGGGAGUCGUGUUUACACAGAAGUGAGACAGCAGGGGGAUCCAGCCUUUUGGGCCAACCUUUCCAACAAUCACAUUUAAAGAGUUGUACCUUUAACAUUACAUGCUUUCAAACAGACAUUCUGACUCCUAUUCCUGAGGCAGGAGGCGCAGACAGCCGAGACACACGUACUGCAUAUGCAUGCGCAAAAAGCACCCUGGGAUUUGGGUACAGGUGGCGCCACGUGACAGGCAGCCAGCUGGGCUACAUUACCAGGAGUAAUGACAAACGGCCCACUGCUGUUGGUUUUUUCGACUAUGAGAGUGUGCAUCACAGGCUGUCAGGUGCUGUCACUCAACAGACCUCUUCAAUGUGCACACCGUAUAUCAGACAAGUCCUUGAGGAUCCAUCUCUGGGCUCAGCAGAAAGCUGUGCAGGAAAAAGUAGGGGGCCCAGAUGUUUCAGCUCAGUAAGCUUAAGGAUGAGUUCAUGGCGCGAACAUCUGAGACUUUCAGUCCUGUUGACCCCAGAAAGAAACUCUUAAUCCAGAAAGUUCCAGGUCACACAUGUACAUAUCCUUCUAUAAGAGAGAGAGAGGAAUCGUGCGAUUCUUUUGUUCAGAUAAAUGGUGACCUAAUUACUUUUUUUGGCCUAAGAGAGCUUAAAAACAGAGAUGGAAGAGACAGCCAGAGGGGGAAACAGAAACAAAUGUGUUGGAAUGCCUCUGUCCGUGUGAGGGGAAGAGAAAAGGUAGGAAGAGAGAAAAAAUACGGGUGGACAGGGAGGUUUUAAGGAAAUACUUGAGACUGUGAUUGUGAACAGCAGGAAGGAGGGCUGGAGGUGUUUGCAGCCAGACAAAAAUGUCCCCCCUCCUAUUAAGCAGAAGUGUGUCUGUGAGUGUAGGUGAUCCUGUUUCAGGUCAAGAUAAAAAAAAAAAAAGAGAGAGACAGACUGGAGCUAAUGGUCUCCCCCGGGCCACACUCUUCCUCUGCAAUGUUAGUGGAUGGGCUGCUCACAACAAAAAGUGAGAGGUCAGCAGGGGUCAGAUGGAGGGAUGGAUCCCGGGGUGCUGCGUUUGCACUCUGGUCACAACAGCACACUUCCCCCAGCUGAAGAAAAACUCAACAAAGGCCAAACCACAAACAAACAUCCAGGAAAAAGUCACCCACAUGUCACUGAACACAGCGUCAGUCCACAGUCUUCAGCUGCAGGCAACAGAAACUGUAAAAUCAUGAUUGAUGUAGGCCAUCAUGUAACGCUUUCCAAGAAAAUGAUGGGUAGGAGGGUGAAAAUAUUUUUUGUGUUCCAGUUUAUUGUUGCUCUUAAUAUUCUAUUCUAGUUUUUCAGUGCUAAAAGAUAGGUUUGCAACAAUUAACUGUAAUACUGUAAUGUUUUGAAGUUUUAUAGAGGUUCAUAUUUAUAAGUAAAUAAUCAUACUUUUUUUUCCACUUUAAUUUUUAUUGAAAAAUGUUCCUUUACAAAGGUAUAACAACUAAUUUAAUACAAGAAAAUACACAAAAACAAAUGUUAACUAAUGGGAGUCACUUUCAAAGCAAUCUAUCUUUCAUUUUCUUUUACUCAAUCUAGUUUUUUGUUUUGUCCCAAAUUUUAUCCUAGUUUUUCACUUGGUUUGUAUUUCUCGCUGUCUGUCAAUAGCUAAUACAUGAGUGGUGUUGGAAAAAAUAAGAGGCAAAACUGAAGAAACAAUCUUCAGACCAAAGUAUCACACGUUUCUGUGACUUAACACCAAAUUAUUGACAAUAUCUAUGCAGUAAACUUCACCUGUAACUAUGGUAACUAAAACAUAUUCAGCAGCCUAUGAUAUUUAACACAUCUUAUGACUCUUGCCCUCCUUCUUUUUCUAACCUGUGAAUUACACAUGGCUACUGCUAGCAUGCCAACACCAGUGUGGAGAUUUUACCACUCUCUAUUUUAGGUCCUUCCCUGAGUGACACCCUUCCUCAAAUUUCCAAUUGAUAAAACUUUGUUCACUGUCUUGUCACUCAAAGAGGCUGACAGGAGAGAACAUAAAGUUGGUAACCUGCUAAAUUCUGAGCCUAUGACAGAGCAGUAACAGCUGGAUAUUUUUAGAGUUGUCCCCCAAAAUAAUCUCUUUUUGCAAUAUAUUCACUGAAGUCUGUCAAAGUGGGAAAUGCUUCAAGGCAAAGGAAACUGUCUGGCAGGAAAUAAGUGAUAAUGCCACUCUUUCUUCUUCUUCUCAAAAGGUCAGCAGCUUCUGGUCAGCUUAGGUGCUGUAGCAUAACAAAGCUGAAUACCUGAACUGUCUGUGUUUUUGUCCAAGUUUGGACCAUGUGGACACCAGAUUCUGAGAGAAAAUAGUUUCCAGGAUAAGACAAUGGGAGCAUAGCUUUUUGAUUAUUUUUUUUAGAUGGUGGGUCUGCCGGUGUUGUAGGAAUGUAUUUCUAAAUCACUGGAGUACCCUGUUCAGACCUUUGACAAAGUGAUGAACUUCUCAGUCGUAUUUGAACCCUUUCCCUUCCAGCCCAGCUUGUGUUUGUUUCUUCAGACCGUCCAGACAGCAGGAGAGGAUGAGCUCUGCAGUGAACCACCUUGCCCUUUACAGCUUGAGGCCAUGCAGUUACACCCACAGCUUUUAGGGAUCCAGCCUAUCACGUCACCAGUGGACAGGGGGGGGUCAUGUGAGACCAGUUAAGUCUUUUAUGAGGCCUUACCAGACAGACAGGGGGGAAUUGGGCUGAGGAACACUGUCUUUUAUGGGCUACUGGGGAAUAGUGUGUGCUUCCAUCUCAAAGCUGUUAAAGGUCUCCCUUUGCCUGGAGACUCUCACAGCCUGGGGGUGGACACCUGGGGGUGCACCUGGGUCCUGGAUGGAAAAAGAAGCUUAACUCCUUCUCUUCUUCAACAAGCUUUAUAUUCUCAUCUGACCACUAAGACUUUACAUAAAUCUUUGGAUGACAGGUUUCAAAAUCUAUGGCCUUGUUUUAGUGGAAGAAAAUCAACUGAAUCCCAACAUCAUCAUAAUAAUAAACACAUUUUUAAACGCAGUGGUUGAUUUUUUUAAUGUUUCUUUAUACCUAUAAAUAAAGACUGAAAAGGAAUUGAAGUUUAAAAGUGAUUGAAUCAACAGUAAACAGAGAAACUCUGGUGAUAUUUGGAGCCAGAACACUGUAUUUGAUAGCUAACUAGCUAAGUAAGACAACACCUAUCACUUUCAUUCAGGCUAACUGACAAGCUAACAAAUAAAUAAGCUAGUUAGAGUCUUUCUGCUGGUAUUACUAUGGCAAUGUAACAAAAAAAGGGGGGAAAUGUCCAGACUGCUUGCUAACAAGCUCUAUGAUUGACACCUGAUACAGCCUAUGGGCGUAAGAAGAUUGCCUAGCUCACCCAGGGGCGAAUUUUUUUUGUAGGAUGGUAGGGGACGGUCCUGCCUCCUUUGCCUCUGAUUGGCUAAAAGUAGAAGUGCUUGGCUACGAUUGGUUAUUCCUUAUGGCUGUAAAAGGUCAUCGUCUGUCGGGUUAGGGUUGGAGUUACGUUACCUCGGAAGUAAGAAGUCCAAGCUGAAAAUGACGUCACACCCGAGUUACCAGCUUCUCAGUUACCAAGUCAUAAAAAAGCAAAGAGGAGGCAGAAACAAGAUGGCUACAUCUUCAAAAGUUAGUUUAGUGCUUGCCUUGUCUGAAUAUAAGGCAAGCGCUAAAAUAACGUAGAUGUAGCCAUUUUGUUUCAGGCCUCCGAUUUCGCUUUUUUCCGACUUGGUAACUGAAACUCUGGUAACUGGUGUUACCAGAUUGAGCGUGGGAUGACGUUUCACAGCUGUAAGGAAUAACCAAUCGGAGCCCAGCUUUUCUAGCCAAUCAGAGGCGAAGGAGGCGGGACCUUCCCCUACCAUCAUACGGAAAAAAAUAUCGCACCUGGGGGAAACGCUGUUUGAGCCGAGCGUCAUCACAGCGACUCUCCCGCCGAAUGUGUACAAUGCUGCUGCACAAGUGGUGGAGAGUGUACAACGCUACUGGGCAAUGUCGGUUUCAGGAAACGGAGGAAAACGUAGAAUUACCGAGAACUUUUCAGCUUCAAAUCCGUAUACUGGCGAAAGGCGGAACCAAGUUGUCCAUAGUAUAUACAAUCUAUGAUCUGCACUGAUUCAUGCUUUUUGAUACAGUGAAUAUUCGGAAGGAAAUCUGGCUACAUUAUAAAUGAGAGACAUGUUUAUAGCUCAUUAGCCGUGUAAGACACCAUCUCACAUAUUACUGUUAUAUCAUAGGUGGCCUGUAGCUCUUGUGGUAUUACCAGGUAAAAUUAGAGCCAUGUAAAGUCCUUGCUAAAUAAGGUUGAAAAAGCAUAAAUACUGUAGUCUGCAGGUCUUAAUAUCAGCAGUUUUACGGUUUUAAAUGUGUCCCUCCCAGGCGCUCACUUUCAUCGCAUUUAAAUUUGCUGGUAAAUCCUGAAGCCUUAAAAAUGUAAAUGUCAAAUCCCCUGUAUUGAUGUGACAGGAGAAAAGUUAUACAGCAGUUUAUCAUCAUGAGAACAGUUCAGCUUUCGAGCCUGAGCUUGAAAUUGGUGGAAAAUCUGUGAAUCAGUGAGUUGAAGUUCUCAACAAACAACCAGCUCCAAGGAACUCUUUUAUGACAGUAUUGAGGGGAUUUUUCUUUGCUGAUGACCUGUUGCUUUUGGGAUUUUGAUCCUCCUGCCAAAGGCAACAGAAUUUAGCAGUCAAUGCAACAGUUUUUUUUUUUAAACCUUAUUAUACUCAUGAGGUUAGCUUGUGGUUCUGGUUAGUUUUAUAGUCAACAAGCAGCUGCAGGGAUUAGUGAACCCACUUUUACUGACCUUCUUCAUCUCAGCUGACAUGAACCUUUAUGGUCCACACAUGCCCCCACAAAUGUAUCACUCAGAAGAAUACUAUUCCCAUAAACCAGGGUGUGAUUAAAGCUACUGCAGGGACACGAAGGCAGGGCUGCACACCAAAGUGAGUUUUACUCUUUAGAUUUAACUCACAUCCUCUCCAGCUCGUAUUCCUCUAUCUGGUCAUCCAGAGAGCUGAGCAGUUUACUGCCAGAAAACAGAAUCUUUCUCCAGAUUGGCUUUGUCAUUUUGAUUCAUGUGGGGCACAGUCUAGUGAAUGUGUUAUUCUGUGAUCCUGUUCCCACUCUUCUGCUCCAUGCCCUCUUCCUGGUGUUAUUAACUUAGGACCUUAGACCUGCACUGUAAGAAAUAAUAGUCACAGGGGGAAGUUGGAAAAUGAUAAAGUGUUAGAGGAAAGUUUCCUUUUCUUUCACACUUUCCAAAUGUUUUUUUUCUCCUCCUAAAUCUUUCUGCUGAUUGAAAUCACACUAUCUUCUCUUAUUUUACCCUCUGCUGUGAGCUGAAGGUGGCUGGAUGAACAGCGUAACACAAGGGAGGAGGGAGAUAAAAGAGUGUGAAGAGGAAGGUACACUGAGGAGUAUCGAAAAAAGGCCUGAUUUGGCAUGCUGUGCAUGGCGCCAGAGAGCAGCGUGUGAUUGUGGGUGUAACAGCCUCCUUUACACCUCUUUUCUUUUCCUUUUCAGAUGUUGGAUCAUCAGCCACCAUGGGGAUUCUGUCUCUCACCACAGAGUGUGAUGAACACUGUGUUCACACAAAAUCAGGUGAAAUAUCAGCUUUUUGUUUAAUCAGAAACAUUAUUUCCUCACAUUGCAGAAAAUGUGCUUCAGGUGCAACUAUCUUUGAUCCUAAAGGAUGCAGUAUGAUGAUAUUGUGGUCGCAUAGCAUCCAGACUGGAACUGAUGAAAACACUCUGACUCCUGCAAAUAAGCACAAGUAAAACUGUUAGUAAACAUCUAAAUGUUCGUGCAGAUUAAACAACUACACGAUACCCC